AUCAUCCUGUUUCAAACGUGUGAGCGGCGCGACAUAUGUUUAUCUGCCGCUUUUCGUCGCUAUCAGAUUAACCGGAGCGUAUUAUGCGCUUAGGCUGCCUUUUCAGGUGGAAUCGAUCUCUCCUGACUGCUCUCAACAGCACAGCGAGUGGAAGACUGCAUACAACUAGGUGUGUCUCUACCGGUCUGCCCUCGAAGAUGCCGCUGAAGUUCGCUGCGAACAUCUCGACCAUGUUCACGCAUGCUCCGCUGCUGACGCGCUACCGUAUGGCCCAGUCGCUCGGGUUCAAAGCCGUCGAAUGCCAAUUUCCCUACGACGUCGGCGUCGACAACAUCCGUAAUGAAAAAGAGACCUGCGAUCUGGAGCAUGUGCUCAUUAACUCAUAUCCAGGUGACCUGACUAAAGGUGAAAUGGGUUUCGCUGCAAGGCCAGGUUGUGAAUCUGAAUUCCUCAGCAGCUUGGAGACUACGAUAAAAUAUGCCAAGGCCUUGAACUGCAAGAAGAUUCAUAUCAUGGCAGGCAUCACAGGCACAGACCAUAGCAGUGUUAUAGAAGAAACAUACCUCACAAACUUGAUGAAAGCAGCUGAAUUACUUGAAAAGGAAGGAAUUGUAGGUGUCAUAGAACCUCUGUGCAAGGCGGUUAAACCAGGAUAUUUUCUCAGUAACUAUGAACAAGCUGCACGUUAUGUCGCACAGAUAAACCACAAGAACUUGCGGCUACUCUUGGACAUAUUUCACCUUCAGAUGAGCUCGGGCAAUUUGACCAACACAGUCACAAGUGUGUACCCGCUUGUAGGUCACAUACAAGUUUCUCAGGCUCCACGUAGGGAUGAGCUUAAUGCACCUGGUGAAAUAAAUUAUAAAUAUGUCCUACGCCUAUUUGAAGAGCUUGGCUACACUGACUGGAUAGGCCUUGAGUACACGCCAUCUGGACAAGGCGGUGAUGGAGUUUCAUGGAUAAAAGAAUAUGGCUACUGCCUUUGAGGAAUGGCAGACAUGUUGUAGUUAAGGAAACAAUAUAUUCUGCAAUUAAAUGAAGAAAAAAGCAGCUGCACUGCUGGAGAGCAUAUCACGGGGUACGCUCCUGUCUGAAAGUGGCUUCGCGUUUGUCACGUUUAAUCAUUUGCUCUGAGGCAGUCAGUGUAGGCGUAUCGACAAUGGUUACACUGGAAUGUUUUUUUCGGCCAAGUUCGCUAGGUGUCAAUGCGCCAGCGCAACACAAGACAAAAUGUACAUAUUCUGAUAACAUCUGCAGCUGGCUUCUGCGCGGUUACUAGCACGGUGAUGUAGAUCUGCUUUGCGUUUGCUAGCAGACAUUUUUCCGCGGAAUCCUUUGUCAUCUGUAGGGAGCAAUGCAAAACGCUUAUUAAAACUAACAAAAUUUAAACAU
RNA transcript from Dermacentor andersoni, 1392 nucleotides. It is a transcript of the gene named hydroxypyruvate isomerase-like protein Gip, with no coding region annotated. Lineage: Eukaryota; Metazoa; Arthropoda; Arachnida; Ixodida; Ixodidae. The record is from RefSeq and is a predicted model, not a curated record.